UCAAACGGCGAAUAUGAGUCCUUACUCCUUAUCUUUAAGACUGCAGAUCCGAUUGAAUGAAGUACCCUGGGACAGAGCAGCAAAUUAUAUCAAUCUGAAGUUCGGAGGAGAUUCAUGGGAGCUAGCAUUCUUUUUCUUUUAUUUUUUUUCUUUUGGGGGGAGAUUUGGGUUCCUACCUGUCUACAUUAAUAAAGAAUGAUAAUUGAAAUACAGGUAGCAAGGAUUCUCCAAUGUGCACAUCCAAAGUUCGAGGGUCCAUAUCCUUGAAGGCAUUCUAUUACAAUCACAUGGUCUCUAUGAAGCUUUAUUUCUCACCCUUUUCGAUCAGAACACAUGGUUAAGAAGCUGCAAAAAGAAGGAUUAUCAAAACUUGCCACCCUUUUGGAUUGUCAUCUCCAACGCUUUGCCGAAAUUCUCAUUCACGAGAAGUGGGUGGCCUAAGGCACUUCCGAUGUAUUCCCAUUCAAAGUGACACCUGCCAUUGAGAAGGGCAUCUCUUCUUCAACUUCUAAUUUUGAUUAAUUUGGUCUAAGCACACAAUAUUUUCAGCUGGAACCUCUCGUUCUCUAAAUGGGUCCAUCAGGAAAUCCUGUGAAUUGUCGAGCAAAUCUUAUUCUAUAUGAGUGGGGUGGGUGUGUGUGAACGAGUGAGAGAUAGACAAGGGGAUGUUGAUCCUCUGGACUUAGUGUCCUGAAACCUCAGUUGCUGUUACAGGAUACAGAUUUUGUUUUCAAA
Long non-coding RNA from Amborella trichopoda, 735 nucleotides. RefSeq lists it as uncharacterized. NCBI's taxonomy places the organism in Eukaryota, Viridiplantae, Streptophyta, Magnoliopsida, Amborellales, Amborellaceae. The record is from RefSeq and is a predicted model, not a curated record.